Molecule: long non-coding RNA, 1810 nt
Filed under: Homo sapiens (human)
Lineage: Eukaryota; Metazoa; Chordata; Mammalia; Primates; Hominidae
Description: HSALNT0310744
Source: RNAcentral
CGCCAUGUUGCCCAGGCUGGUCUCAAACUCCUGGGCUCAAGCAAUCCUCCCACGUCAGCCUCUCAAAGUGCUAGAAUUACAGGCAUGAGCCACUGCACCCGGCCAGAAUAAGGUCCUAAGGUAGUUGCAAAAGGCAAAAAUUGCAUACUCAAAAUUACCUUUGAAUAGCUCUUAAAUCAGUCGGUCAAGUAUUCUUCAAUAAGGCCAAAACAGCCAAUGUUCCUCUAGCACUGCAACAGAUCACUCACUGUUCAUUCGGCUGAAUAACAGAUGAAGUAGCUGACUAAGUUUAGGAAAGACUAAAAAUCACUGUCAGGGAAGGGAGCUAUUCACACUAUGAAAUGCAAUCAAGAACUAAAAGGACUUCUUCCAUCUCUCACUCAGGGACACACAUUCACUGAUCAGAAUAAAAGGAAUGGCUGAAUGACUCUCACUUGCACUCUUAAAUUAUAUUUCUCAAGUAUGUUCUCUCCUUUUCGUAAAGAAGACUAUACAUAGUUGAAUUUACAGAAAUUAACUAAAGUGAAAUGCAUGUGAUCUAACGCUUCCACUAAAAAUUCUAAAGGCGGUUCUAAUGCCAUACAAAUUUAAUGUUUAUAUUUUAUUGUGCUGAAUGUUCUAAAUUCUCAACAUUCCACUUAGCUAGCAGAACUCAGUUUUUUGUGGAACAAUUUAAAAAUUCCACCUGAUCGCCUAACUUUUCCUUCAGUCAAGGAUUAUAGUAGAGAAUUAAGGUGCAGUCUCAGGGAAAUGACAGAGAAAUUCCUCUCCUACAUAUGAGAAGGUGUGGAACACCAGUGAGGAUGUGGGUUAAUUCUGGCCAUGUUGUCUAAGGAGUGUUCCCACAUUCAAAAACAAUCAGAUGUCUGUCGUGAAGACAACAACCUGAUCAAAUCAUCUACAGAAAUGUGUGAAGCUGAAGUACAUCAGGACACUAAUUGCUUUUUUGAUGGAAGAAAAAAUGUACUCGACUACAAAAAAGAUGGGCAUCAUGAUCUACACUUUUGCAAUAGUGAAAAAUGAGGACGAAAUUGAUUAGAAUUGGGAAUUGGAGACAAAAAUGCACUUGGCUUGGUAUACGCAACGGACUUUCUAAAGCUUUAUGCUAAUCAGAAUUUUUACAUGGAACUGGCUUUCUGAAGAAAAUCAAAAAAGAAUAAAAAGCCCAGAAAGGCACUUUGGGAGCUGAGGCAGGAGGACUGCUUGGGUCUAGGAUUUCAAGACCAACGUGGGCAACAUAACAAGACUCUGUCUCUACAAUAAAAAACGUUUUUAAAUUAGCUGAGCAUAUUAACACACACAUGUAGCCCAAGCUACUAGGGAGGCUGAGGCAAGAAGAACCCUUGAGCUCAGGAGACCAGCCUGGCCACACAGCAUGACUCCGUCUCUAUUUUUUUCUUUUUAAGUCCAGAAAGUCUACAUUGUGGUUUUUAAUUUACUUAAUAAAUAACCAAAUACCUACUAUAUGCCAGGCAAUGAUCCACAUGCUUUGUCAUAAUUCUUGGGGAAGACACACAUAUUCCACUGUGGUUUUUCAAUAGAACAAAAGACUUAUAAAAUGUUUCAUUUUUAACCGAUAAUAACCAGGUACUACUCAAAGCUCAAAAUAUCUUUACUGGUCAGGUGCAGUGGCUAUAAGCCCAGCACUCUGGGAGGCUGAGGCAGGAGGACUGUUUGAGCCCAGGAAUUUAACAACAGUUUGGUCGACAUGGAAAGGCCCCCAUCUCUACAAAAAAUUUUAAAAAAAUUAGCCAGGCAUGGCCGGGCACAGUGGCUCAUGCCUGUAAUCCCAGAACUUUGGGAGGCUGAG